GAUGAACGCUGGCGGCGUGCCUAAUACAUGCAAGUCGAGCGAACAGACGAGGAGCUUGCUCCUCUGACGUUAGCGGCGGACGGGUGAGUAACACGUGGAUAACCUACCUAUAAGACUGGGAUAACUUCGGGAAACCGGAGCUAAUACCGGAUAAUAUAUUGAACCGCAUGGUUCAAUAGUGAAAGACGGUUUUGCUGUCACUUAUAGAUGGAUCCGCGCCGCAUUAGCUAGUUGGUAAGGUAACGGCUUACCAAGGCAACGAUGCGUAGCCGACCUGAGAGGGGGAUCGGCCACACUGGAACUGAGACACGGUCCAGACGCCUACGGGAGGCAGCAGUAGGGAAUCUUCCGCAAUGGGCGAAAGCCUGACGGAGCAACGCCGCGUGAGUGAUGAAGGGCUUCGGAUCGUAAAACGCUGUUAUUAGGGAAGAACAAAUGUGUAAGUAACUAUGCACGUCUUGACGGUACCUAAUCAGAAAGCCACGGCUAACUACGU
RNAcentral lists this ribosomal RNA (496 nucleotides) under uncultured bacterium. Its description in RNAcentral is "partial 16S ribosomal RNA". It matches the Rfam family "Bacterial small subunit ribosomal RNA", at positions 28 to 506 of the family's 1533-position model. The record is from RNAcentral.